UACCAGCACCCCGAGUGGUCGGGACGAUUAUUGGGCCUAAAGCAUCCGUAGCCGGUCCUGCAAGUCUUCCGUUAAAUCCAGCUGCUCAACAGAUGGGCUGCGGGGGAUACUACAGGGCUAGGAGGCGGGAGAGGCAAGCGGUACUUUAUGGGUAGGGGUAAAAUGCGUAGAUAUCUGGAGGAACACCGGUGGCGAAGGCGGCGUUCUGGACUGCAACUGACACUGAUGAACGAAAGCCAGGGGAGCAAACGGG
Molecule: ribosomal RNA, 253 nt
Filed under: uncultured bacterium
Lineage: Bacteria
Description: partial 16S ribosomal RNA
Rfam family: Bacterial small subunit ribosomal RNA (bases 27-253)
Source: RNAcentral